ACCAAACGGAUUCUUCCGUUACUCUGGUGAUUCUGAAUAACUUUUUGCAGAUCGUACGGACCUGUUCCGACGACAAAUCCAUCGAAGGUGUGCCCUAUCAACUGUCGACUGUGGUAUAGACGUCCACAGUGGUUUUGACGGGUAACGGGGAAUUAGGGUUCGAUUCCGGAGAGGGAGCCUGAGAAACGGCUACCACUUCUAAGGAAGGCAGCAGGCACGCAAAUUACCCAAUGGUCGAAGACCGAGGUAGUGACGAAAAAUAACGAUACCGGACUCAUCCGAGGCCCGGUAAUCGGAAUGAGUACACUUUAAAUCCUUUAACGAGGAACAAUUGGAGGGCAAGUCUGGUGCCAGCAGCCGCGGUAAUUCCAGCUCCAAUAGCGUAUAUUAAAGUUGUUGCGGUUAAAAAGCUCGUAGUUGGAUCUCGGCAGGUAGGGGGCGGUUCGUUUCUGACGGCACUGCCCCAUUUACCUGUGUUUUUGACGGAGGUCUCAAGGUGGCUUUAAACGGCUGUCUUGGAACGCCGUCAGGUUUACUUUGAAAAAAUUAGAGUGCUCAAAGCAGGCUACAAAGCUUGAAUAUUUGUGCAUGGAAUAAUGGAAUAGGACAACGUUUCUAUUUUUUUUGGUUUUCGGAAAUUGUUGUAAUGAUUAAUAGGAACAGCCGGGGACAUUAGUACUCAGACGACAGAGGUGAAAUUCUUGGACCGUUUGAGGACUAACUACUGCGAAAGCAUUUGUCAAGAGUGUUUUCAUUAAUCAAGAACGAAAGUUAGAGGUUCGAAGGCGAUCAGAUACCGCCCUAGUUCUAACCAUAAACGAUGCUGACUAGCGAUCCGUAGCUGUUUUCUAUGUAGGCUCUACGGGAAGCUUCCGGGAAACCAAAGUUUUUGAGUUCCGGGGGAAGUAUGGUUGCAAAGCUGAAACUUAAAGGAAUUGACGGAAGGGCACCACCAGGAGUGGAGCCUGCGGCUUAAUUUGACUCAACACGGGAAAUCUCACCAGGCCCAGACACUGGAAGGAUUGACAGAUUGAGAGCU
RNAcentral lists this ribosomal RNA (1039 nucleotides) under metagenome. Its description in RNAcentral is "SSU rRNA". It matches the Rfam family "Eukaryotic small subunit ribosomal RNA", at positions 221 to 1256 of the family's 1831-position model. The record is from RNAcentral.